This 1518-nucleotide long non-coding RNA is filed under the name Equus asinus (donkey). Its description in RNAcentral is "lncRNA (ENSEASG00005024034.1, ENSEASG00020032195.1)". Lineage: Eukaryota; Metazoa; Chordata; Mammalia; Perissodactyla; Equidae. The record is from RNAcentral.
UAGGUUGAACCACUGGCAGUAACCGUUUCCCAGCUGAUCACAUUUUGCCUGUAUUGCCUGAGACCAGGCUUCAGUAAUGCCUUAAAACCUUGCUACUCAAAGGGUGGUCCCCAGACCACCAGCAUCAGCAUCACCAGGGAGCUCGCGAGAAAUGCAGUCAGGCCCCACCACAAAUCUGCUGAACCAAAACCUGCCUGUCAACAGGAUCCCCAGCCAGUUUUCCUCCCUGACUGCCUUUCUGGCAGACCUACAGCCACUGCAGACUCGACAGUAGAUGCAGAAGCAACAACCCACGUAAAACGCUCCACCAGCUCCCACAACUGUGCCACUUGUAAUUCACCACUUAGAGACAACCACGGCAACGUCAUGGGAGAUUAGCCCUGAGCUAACAUCCGCUGCCAAUCCUCCUCUUCUUGCUGAGGAAGAUUGGCCCUGAGCUAACAUUUGUGCCCAUCUUCCUCUAUUUUCUAUGUGGGACGCCUGCCACAGCAUGGCUUGAUGAGCGAUGUGCAGGUCUGUGCCUGGGAUGCAAACCAGUGAACCCCGGGCUGCUGAAGCGGAGUGCACGAACUUUGCUAUACCACUGGGCUGGCCCCAAGGAUGACUUUCUAAUAGGCUGUUCUGCAUGUUGCUCGACCUUCCUGCCUGAUGCUCCACUGUCACCAUCAGCUGAACACCGCAGGGGUGCGGCUGCCUGAGAACGACCUGAAGAAACUACUCUCCUCUGGCCAGUGUAAGACCCAUUUGCCUGUCAACCAGGGACUGCUCCCCACCAUUAGAAAUGUACUUUUGACCUUGCUAAUUCUAGAAAAUAGUCAAGGUAUUAGUAACUGAACUGAGCAAAUCCAUUUUUAAAAGAGAACUCAUAAUUAAUCUUAUCCCUACAUUUGGCAGAAGGGUGAAGUUAAGUGUGUAUUAACUGGCAGAAUCCUAAAAUCUUGUAGGCUCUUAACAUAUGAUUUGAUUACCAACUGCUUAGGUGGUUUGGUUGAUAUCAUGGAAGAUACCACAGGAGGUUUCUGUUGUCACUAUUCCAAUGGUUGUCCCAGCUAACAAAGAUAAGAUUAAAACUACUACUAUCUUCUUCUGCCUCUUUUGAGUACCUCUCUAACUUUGUUAAAUAGAGGCUGAUUUCUGAAGCAACAGAGAAUAAAUUCUGUCACGUUAGCUUAUUUGAAAGCCACUGCUCGCGUCGUCCUCUCCCCCGUCUCCUUUACAGGCCGACCCUGGCCGGUUCUGCCGGGUGUUCCUCACAUGAAGUGAUUGCCGUGCUCUUUAACAUCCUGCCGGGCUUCCUGGGAAGUCCAUUUUGUUAAAGUCCAUCGUGUAAUGUGGCUCUCAAAACUAUUAUGGGCUUGCCGAUGUCCAGUAAAGUGGAAGUAUCUGCAGUAGCUUCUGAGGGCAGCUUUGUUACUGUCUGGUUCAUGUUGAGUUUUCAAUCAACUAAAACCCUAAGUAUGCUUCAGGUUGGUUGCUGUUAAGCCAGUUUUCCACAAUAACGUACUUUUGGAAUUGAUA